UUGACGGGGCCCGCACAAGCGGUGGAGCAUGUGGUUUAAUUCGAAGCAACGCGAAGAACCUUACCAGGUCUUGACAUCCCCUGACAACCCGAGAGAUCGGGCGUCCCCUUCGGGGGACAGGGUGACAGGUGGUGCAUGGUUGUCGUCAGCUCGUGUCGUGAGAUGUUGGGUUAAGUCCCGCAACGAGCGCAACCCUCGACCUUAGUUGCCAGCAUUCAGUUGGGCACUCUAAGGUGACUGCCGGCUAAAAGUCGGAGGAAGGUGGGAUGACGUCAAAUCAUCAUGCCCCUUAUGACCUGGGCUACACACGUGCUACAAUGGUUGGUACAACGAGUUGCGAGUCGGUGACGGCGAGCUAAUCUCUUAAAGCCAAUCUCAGUUCGGAUUGUAGGCUGCAACUCGCCUACAUGAAGUCGGAAUCGCUAGUAAUCGCGGAUCAGCACGCCGCGGUGAAUACGUUCCCGGGCCUU
Molecule: ribosomal RNA, 470 nt
Filed under: uncultured Streptococcus sp.
Lineage: Bacteria; Bacillati; Bacillota; Bacilli; Lactobacillales; Streptococcaceae
Description: bacterial SSU rRNA
Rfam family: Bacterial small subunit ribosomal RNA
Source: RNAcentral